RNAcentral lists this long non-coding RNA (1041 nucleotides) under Scleropages formosus (Asian bonytongue). RNAcentral describes it as "lncRNA (ENSSFOG00015025971.1)". Lineage: Eukaryota; Metazoa; Chordata; Actinopteri; Osteoglossiformes; Osteoglossidae. The record is from RNAcentral.
AUUAACAUCAACCAUUGAAAGUACUGAUAACUCGGUCAACGAACACACACACACACACACACAUUUUCUGAACCGCUUGUCCCAUACGGGGUCGCGGGGAACCGGAGCCUACCCGGUAACACAGAGCGUAAGGCCGGAGGGGGAGGGGACACACCCAGGACGAGACGCCAGUCCGUCGCAAGGCACCCCAAGCAGGACUCGAACCCCAGACCCACUGGGCAGCAGGACUGGGGUCCAACCCACUGUGCCACCGCACCCCCCUCUGUCAACGAACACUGUUACUGUUACUGAGUCAGCCUUGACCCUUGUUGAUCACAUAUGCAGUUUUUCCGGAAAGUUCUGUCCUCCAUCUGUGUCCUUAGUGUUGAGUGUCACUGUCACUGAGUCCAUCCAUCCUCUGCUUCUUUCUCGUCCAGCUCUUCUGCUCAUCACCGUCUUCUCUAGAGAAUCCGGUCUUCUGGGCGACGUGUCCACAGUGCGACGAUCUCAAUCUCGUCAUCUGUGCUUCGAAAAUAAGAAGAAGUGCAACAACCACAACAUCAUUUCCUUUUCUCAAGCUGCGGUGCAGCGGCCAAGAAAUGUGAUGGCACCACCGUUGAACAAGACGCUCAUCACCGAGGCAUCAGCGACUGCACCAGGUUUCCGUGGCGGCAGCAGCGUUACUACCCACCUUAGGUUGCCAGCUACCUCUGUCAUCACCUAUAAAUAGCAGGCUGUGUUUAGCUUGAUUGUAAAAAAAAAAAAAAAAAAUUCCAAAGCAGGAAGGUUUUUUUGGUCCUGCCCACUGCUGGAUGAUGGAGAGCGGAGUGUGCGUGGGCUGCGGAGAUGGGUCUUGCAUGUGGGCGUCCCAAUGUUCUCCAGGCCCCUUGCCCACUGGGGUGAUUCAGAGGGGGGCUGGAUGUGAGCUGCAGCUUCCCACCCACUCGCUCGCUAGAGCCCCCUGACAGCUGGAAAUGAGCCCCCCCAUCGCUGCCCGCACAGGCCUGGCUCGCAGAUCGAGUGAAAAAUAAAAAACCUUUCUUCUGUCUCCUCGCGAUGUGU